GACGAACGCUGGCGGCGUGCUUAACACAUGCAAGUCGAACGGAAAGGCCCUGCUUUUGUGGGGUGCUCGAGUGGCGAACGGGUGAGUAACACGUGAGUAACCUCCCCUUGCCUUUGGGAUAACUUCAGGAAACUGGGGCUAAUACCGGAAAGGAGCUCCGGCGGCAUGGUGGGGGUGGGAAAGUUUCGGCGGUUGGGGAUGGACUCGCGGCUUAUCAGCUUGUUGGUGGGGUAGUGGCUUACCAAGGCUUUGACGGGUAGCCGGCCUGAGAGGGUGACCGGCCACAUUGGGACUGAGAUACGGCCCAGACUCCUACGGGAGGCAGCAGUGGGGAAUAUUGCACAAUGGGCGGAAGCCUGAUGCAGCAACGCCGCGUGCGGGAUGACGGCCUUCGGGUUGUAAACCGCUUUCGCCUGUGACGAAGCGUGAGUGACGGUAAUGGGUAAAGAAGCACCGGCUAACUACGUG
This 468-nucleotide ribosomal RNA is filed under the name uncultured bacterium. RNAcentral describes it as "partial 16S ribosomal RNA". It matches the Rfam family "Bacterial small subunit ribosomal RNA", at positions 28 to 507 of the family's 1533-position model. The record is from RNAcentral.